Molecule: long non-coding RNA, 184 nt
Organism: Thalassophryne amazonica
Lineage: Eukaryota; Metazoa; Chordata; Actinopteri; Batrachoidiformes; Batrachoididae
Exons: 3
Source: RefSeq, a predicted model, not a curated record
UGGUAAUUGAAAUUGGUUUAUGAGCCAGUUAUUGUCAUUUGCAAGUAAAUCCUCGCAUUCCCUGAGUACAUGCUCAUGCCAGAUUGCACCAUUUGCAAGAUGUUUUAACAAUGCUAAUGUGGCCAUUGUUAGUGCCAUUUUACACAUCACUUUGCACAUGCUUUUAUAUCAUCCAUAUAAUUGC